Molecule: ribosomal RNA, 517 nt
Filed under: uncultured bacterium
Lineage: Bacteria
Description: bacterial SSU rRNA
Rfam family: Bacterial small subunit ribosomal RNA
Source: RNAcentral
GAUGAACGCUGGCGGCGUGCCUAAUACAUGCAAGUCGAGCGAACAGAUGAGAAGCUUGCUUCUCUGAUGUUAGCGGCGGACGGGUGAGUAACACGUGGGUAACCUACCUAUAAGACUGGGAUAACUCCGGGAAACCGGGGCUAAUACCGGAUAAUAUUUUGAACCGCAUGGUUCAAUAGUGAAAGACGGUUUCGGCUGUCACUUAUAGAUGGACCCGCGCCGUAUUAGCUAGUUGGUAAGGUAAUGGCUUACCAAGGCGACGAUACGUAGCCGACCUGAGAGGGUGAUCGGCCACACUGGAACUGAGACACGGUCCAGACUCCUACGGGAGGCAGCAGUAGGGAAUCUUCCGCAAUGGGCGAAAGCCUGACGGAGCAACGCCGCGUGAGUGAUGAAGGUCUUCGGAUCGUAAAACUCUGUUGUUAGGGAAGAACAAAUUUGUUAGUAACUGAACAAGUCUUGACGGUACCUAACCAGAAAGCCACGGCUAACUACGUGCCAGCCGCCGCCGUAACAC